This is a long non-coding RNA of Prosopis cineraria, 521 nucleotides long. RefSeq lists it as uncharacterized. NCBI's taxonomy places the organism in Eukaryota, Viridiplantae, Streptophyta, Magnoliopsida, Fabales, Fabaceae. The transcript is spliced from 3 exons. The record is from RefSeq and is a predicted model, not a curated record.
CUUAUUUCACUCGCUCUGUUCUGAUAGAAGCAGAGCACCGAAACUCUGUCCCUCUUUGUUCCAUUAGAAUCAAAGUCUCUGUUGUUUUUAGAUCUCCGGCGUCAAAGAUCUGAAGCAAUCCUUGGCCGACCCGCAGAAACUGAUAGUUAAAAAGAACGCAGAUCCAUUCUUCUGAUGUUUUUGCAUUCGAAUGUCUAUUUCUCUAUCUGAGCCUCAAGUAAAGUGGGAUGAGUUCUUCAAAUAAUUCAGGGGGAAACAAGUUAAUCGGAGAUUAUUUAGGUUAUGGACGAAUCUCUGGUUCAGACAACAACAACAACAACAACGGCAAUGGAAAUAAUUCAAAGGGUUCAUCUUCUUCAUCAAAGGGAAGCACCAAGAAGCAGAUAGGGCGCCUGAUAGGCUAUGGAAGGCAGAGGCCAUCUCAACCCGAAAAGUAAACAAUGCUUCUUGUUGUGUAUUGUUUCUGUUUCUCUGUUUUUGUUUCGUUGUGUGUUUCCUGGUUUUAUUUGGACUCGAGGCUU